UAAGGAAUAUUGGUCAAUGGACGCAAGUCUGAACCAGCCAUGCCGCGUGAAGGAUUAAGGUCCUCUGGAUUGUAAACUUCUUUUUAUCUGGGACGAAAGAAGGCGAUUCUUCGUCACUUGACGGUACCAGAUGAAUAAGCACCGGCUAACUCCGUGCCAGCAGCCGCGGUAAUACGGAGGGUGCAAGCGUUAUCCGGAUUCACUGGGUUUAAAGGGUGCGUAGGCGGGCAGGUAAGUCAGUGGUGAAAUCCUAGAGCUUAACUCUAGAACUGCCAUUGAUACUAUCUGUCUUGAAUAUUGUGGAGGUAAGCGGAAUAUGUCAUGUAGCGGUGAAAUGCUUAGAUAUGACAUAGAACACCUAUUGCGAAGGCAGCUUACUACGCAUAUAUUGACGCUGAGGCACGAAAGCGUGGGGAUCAAACAGGAUUAGAUACCCUGGUAGUCCACGCCCUAAACGAUGAUUACUCGACAUUUGUGAUACACUAUAAGUGUCUGAGCGAAAGCAUUAAGUAAUCCACCUGGGAAGUACGACCGCAAGGUUGAAACUUAAAGGAAUUGACGGGGUCAUAGCUGUUUCCUG
Molecule: ribosomal RNA, 580 nt
Filed under: uncultured bacterium
Lineage: Bacteria
Description: partial 16S ribosomal RNA
Rfam family: Bacterial small subunit ribosomal RNA
Source: RNAcentral